UCCUGAGAAUGAGAUGAAAAAAAGUCAGUAUGUUCCUCUUAAGAUGAUCAAGGGUUCUGGGUUAAGGUGAAAAUGAAGAUUUUGGUUAUGGUCAAGUACUCUUCAUAUGUGUUAAACACAAGGUUUCUGAAACCAGCUAUGCUCAAAGCACGGUAGGAUCUCUCCCCAUGUGUGUAAGAAUACAUACAGAGGCCAUGAGAGAGAAAAAUUGGCAGCCAAGCAGCACGCCUGGCAGCAUCAGCAGAUGCUUCAAUCUUGUUUCUCAGACUCCUGCAGUUACAGAAUUGCCAAAAAUUGCAUCCAGAAAAUCAACAUGCUUCAAGUUUAAUACAUCUAUUAGUAUGGAUACUAUAGGAGAAGAAAAAUGAACAGGAAACCAACCUGGCACCAGGAAGCCAACCACUAAGCCCGAUAACAGCUCUCAAAUUAACAGGAAAAGGACUUCCAUUUCCGUAUUUUCCCUGUGCAAAGCAAGUUGCAGAGUAGAGUGCAGCUGCUGCCCCCAUACUGAAGCCUCCAACAGCAACUUUAACUAUAUCCAGCAAUAAAUUUAGCCCAAAAAAGGAGUUAGAUGCGAAACAUGGUACUGAAAUGUACCUGCUUUAGGAAAAAGUUAAAGCACACAGUUUGGACAAGGGAAUUUAGUGGUGGAGAAUAUUACUGUUGGCAGGUUCUGCAGACAACAGAUUAGCAAUAUGUGCUGCUGAGGCAUCUAAACCUUCUAUGUCAUCAGGUCCUUCAUCCGAAAGUUCCCCCGUAUCAAACCCUGGUAUUGAUUGAAACACAGCAGUGCAGGGGAAUCCACCAAGUGAGGUCACAUGGCGCGUGGGAGCAGUAGGACAUAUCCAUUUUAUCUGCACAGGAAAGUUCCAUUUCAGGUUGUAGAUAUCAACAUUGAUAGCAGCAUAUCGUUGACCAUGAGUAUUAAGACUUACAUUUGGAAGUGGGAGACUCUCCAACAUCUGUGACCAACUGCAGAAGAUAAAAAGUUCGCAGAAAGGUGAUGUGGGGGGCAGCCGUUACUUACCACAAAGUACUGCGAGCACACAGGGCACUCAUGUGGCUUGCCCUUCUCUAGCCAGAACCAAACAACAUCAUGCUCAUCCUCUGCGAAUCAUCAUUUGUGCAGGGA
Molecule: long non-coding RNA, 1132 nt
Organism: Andrographis paniculata
Lineage: Eukaryota; Viridiplantae; Streptophyta; Magnoliopsida; Lamiales; Acanthaceae
Exons: 4
Source: RefSeq, a predicted model, not a curated record